This 1366-nucleotide long non-coding RNA is filed under the name Monodelphis domestica (gray short-tailed opossum). Its description in RNAcentral is "lncRNA (ENSMODG00000032328.2)". The record is from RNAcentral. Lineage: Eukaryota; Metazoa; Chordata; Mammalia; Didelphimorphia; Didelphidae.
GUAUCACCCAAAUAUGUUAAGAUGUAAAAGAUUCCCUGAUAAAUAUAGCUGAUAUAACUAUUUGCUAUCAAGCAAAGUAAAAAAUAUACAUAUACUUACUGACAUGGGCACUGUACCCCAGAAACCCAGGCGAACUAUUAUCAGGGAAACUCCCUUGCUUUGCCUCCUCCAGACUCCGAAUUUAGAAACACCCAAUGACCCCACCUAGGGUCCUGAGAUAUUUACCUUCUUUUGUCCUCUAGAUUUAAGAUGGACAAAGAGAUGAAUAUUUAGGCCUCCAGGCAGACCCAAGUCAGAUGACCACCUCAUCCCACCAAAUGCCUGAGUCACAUCUCCACCAGGACAUAGCAUCUGUUGUAAAAAGAAUUGUGGUGCUCCAUGAUUCCUCCCUCAGUGAAUAUUGCUAUUAAAGAAUCAUUCUCUCCAUAAUACCGAGAAAUAAAGUGGAACAAGUAGUACUGGGUCUUAACUUUUAAACAAUGUUCCUUCCUGUGACUACAAAACAUCUAAAUCUCUUAUGUUCUUUUCUCCUGACUCAGCUUCAGUUGUCCUCCUGAUGGCGUCAUACUUCUCCCCACGUCUCAUUCUCCGCACCCCUUCGAGACCCCUGAAUGCUUGUCAGUAUCACCUAACAAAAUGAGAUAAUGAAGGUCAUUUUACAGAUGAAGAAAUUAAGACAAAGUGGAUUAAGUGAUUUGCUCAAGGUCACGCAGCCAGUAUGUGUCUGAAGUCAGAUUUGGACAUCGGAAAUGAGUCUUCCUGACUCCAAACCUGGCACCCUACUACAUCACCUACCUGCCCAAGGGACUAUUACAAUAGUCCAAGAAAAAGGCAAUGUGACCUUGAUCUAGGCCUAAGGGUAGUGUAAGUAGAGAGAAGGAUGUGAGAUAUGUCAUGGCCAUACAAUCCACAAUACUUUAAAACUGAAUAGAUAUUAGGGAAGGAGGGCCAUGCGGAAGCAAGAGGUCAAGGAUAACUCUAAAUUUGCAAACCUGGAUAAGCAGUAGUAGUAGAGUGAGACUAGAAGGGUUAUCUUGGUAAAUGUUUCUCUGACAUUAAAAAAAAAAAUGUUCCCAGCAGACUUUUAAGUCUGAUCUACAUUAUUUACAUUUUCUCCAGUACUAUCUUAAAACUAAACUAGCAUUGGCCAGUUUUUUCAGGAAAGAGCCAAAGAGUAAAUAUUUCAGGUUUUGCAGGGCAAGAAACAAAAUCAAUAAUAUUGAUAAGGUUCUUAUAUGACAAAAGUGAAACAAAUUUCCGCAAAGUAUUUUACUAACAAAAUUCAAAAUAUAAUAAUUACAUUGUCUUGUAAUACAGGUCUACUCAUGAGAAAAAUGGAAUUCUUCAAUUAAAAAAAAAUACCCUG